This 207-nucleotide ribosomal RNA is filed under the name uncultured bacterium. RNAcentral describes it as "partial 16S ribosomal RNA". It matches the Rfam family "Bacterial small subunit ribosomal RNA", at positions 568 to 774 of the family's 1533-position model. The record is from RNAcentral.
CGCGUAGACGGCUGUCUAAGUCUGGAGUGAAAGUCCUGCUUUCAAGGUGGGAAUUGCUUUGGAGACUGGAUGGCUUGAGUGCGGAAGAGGUAAGUGGAAUUCCCAGUGUAGCGGUGAAAUGCGUAGAGAUUGGGAAGAACACCAGUGGCGAAGGCGACUUACUGGGCCGUAACUGACGUUGAUGCGCGAAAGCGUGGGGAGCGAACA